This 725-nucleotide ribosomal RNA is filed under the name uncultured Gammaproteobacteria bacterium. RNAcentral's name for it is "bacterial SSU rRNA". It matches the Rfam family "Bacterial small subunit ribosomal RNA", at positions 65 to 782 of the family's 1533-position model. The record is from RNAcentral. Lineage: Bacteria; Pseudomonadati; Pseudomonadota; Gammaproteobacteria.
GGCAACACAGUCUAGCUUGCUAGAUGGGUGGCGAGUGGCGAACGGGUGAGUAACGCGUAGGAAUAUGCCUUAAAGUGGGGGACAACUUGGGGAAACUCAAGCUAAUACCGCAUAAUCUCUGAGGAGAGAAGCUGGGGACCGCAAGGCCUGGCGCUUUAAGAUUAGCCUGCGUCCGAUUAGCUAGUUGGUAGGGUAAAGGCCUACCAAGGCGACGAUCGGUAGCUGGUCUGAGAGGAUGGCCAGCCACACUGGAACUGAGACACGGUCCAGACUCCUACGGGAGGCAGCAGUGGGGAAUAUUGGACAAUGGGGGCAACCCUGAUCCAGCAAUGCCGCGUGUGUGAAGAAGGCCUGAGGGUUGUAAAGCACUUUCAGUGGGGAGGAGGAUUGACAGGUUAAGAGCUGGUUAAUUGGACGUUACCCACAGAAGAAGCACCGGCUAACUCCGUGCCAGCAGCCGCGGUAAUACGGAGGGUGCGAGCGUUAAUCGGAAUUACUGGGCGUAAAGGGUGCGUAGGUGGUUUGAUAAGUUAUCUGUGAAAGCCCUGGGCUCAACCUGGGAAGGCCAGAUAAGACUGUUGAACUAGAGUAUGGGAGAGGGUAGUGGAAUUUCCGGUGUAGCGGUGAAAUGCGUAGAGAUCGGAAGGAACACCAGUGGCGAAGGCGGCUACCUGGCCUGAUACUGACACUGAAGCACGAAAGCUAGGGUAGCGAACGGGAUUAGA